RNAcentral lists this ribosomal RNA (1554 nucleotides) under uncultured bacterium. Its description in RNAcentral is "bacterial SSU rRNA". It matches the Rfam family "Bacterial small subunit ribosomal RNA". The record is from RNAcentral.
AGAGUUUGAUCAUGGCUCAGGACGAACGCUGGCGGCGUGCCUAAUACAUGCAAGUCGAACGAAACUUUCUUACACCGAAUGCUUGCAUUCACCGUAAGAAGUUGAGUGGCGGACGGGUGAGUAACACGUGGGUAACCUGCCUAAAAGAAGGGGAUAACACUUGGAAACAGGUGCUAAUACCGUAUAUCUCUAAGGAUCGCAUGAUCCUUAGAUGAAAGAUGGUUCUGCUAUCGCUUUUAGAUGGACCCGCGGCGUAUUAACUAGUUGGUGGGGUAACGGCCUACCAAGGUGAUGAUACGUAGCCGAACUGAGAGGUUGAUCGGCCACAUUGGGACUGAGACACGGCCCAAACUCCUACGGGAGGCAGCAGUAGGGAAUCUUCCACAAUGGACGCAAGUCUGAUGGAGCAACGCCGCGUGAGUGAAGAAGGUCUUCGGAUCGUAAAACUCUGUUGUUAGAGAAGAACACGAGUGAGAGUAACUAUUCAUUCGAUGACGGUAUCUAACCAGCAAGUCACGGCUAACUACGUGCCAGCAGCCGCGGUAAUACGUAGGUGGCAAGCGUUGUCCGGAUUUAUUGGGCGUAAAGGGAACGCAGGCGGUCUUUUAAGUCUGAUGUGAAAGCCUUCGGCUUAACCGGAGUAGUGCAUUGGAAACUGGAAGACUUGAGUGCAGAAGAGGAGAGUGGAACUCCAUGUGUAGCGGUGAAAUGCGUAGAUAUAUGGAAGAACACCAGUGGCGAAAGCGGCUCUCUGGUCUGUAACUGACGCUGAGGUUCGAAAGCGUGGGUAGCAAACAGGAUUAGAUACCCUGGUAGUCCACGCCGUAAACGAUGAAUGCUAGGUGUUGGAGGGUUUCCGCCCUUCAGUGCCGCAGCUAACGCAAUAAGCAUUCCGCCUGGGGAGUACGACCGCAAGGUUGAAACUCAAAGGAAUUGACGGGGGCCCGCACAAGCGGUGGAGCAUGUGGUUUAAUUCGAAGCAACGCGAAGAACCUUACCAGGUCUUGACAUCCUUUGACCACCUAAGAGAUUAGGCUUUCCCUUCGGGGACAAAGUGACAGGUGGUGCAUGGCUGUCGUCAGCUCGUGUCGUGAGAUGUUGGGUUAAGUCCCGCAACGAGCGCAACCCUUGUUGUCAGUUGCCAGCAUUAAGUUGGGCACUCUGGCGAGACUGCCGGUGACAAACCGGAGGAAGGUGGGGACGACGUCAAGUCAUCAUGCCCCUUAUGACCUGGGCUACACACGUGCUACAAUGGACGGUACAACGAGUCGCGAGACCGCGAGGUUUAGCUAAUCUCUUAAAGCCGUUCUCAGUUCGGAUUGUAGGCCGCAACUCGCCUACAUGAAGUCGGAAUCGCUAGUAAUCGCGAAUCAGCAUGUCGCGGUGAAUACGUUCCCGGGCCUUGUACACACCGCCCGUCACACCAUGAGAGUUUGUAACACCCAAAGCCGGUGGGGUAACCGCAAGGAGCCAGCCGUCUAAGGUGGGACAGAUGAUUGGGGUGAAGUCGUAACAAGGUAGCCGUAGGAGAACCUGCGGCUGGAUCACCUCCUU